RNAcentral lists this ribosomal RNA (785 nucleotides) under Bacillus licheniformis. RNAcentral's name for it is "bacterial SSU rRNA". It matches the Rfam family "Bacterial small subunit ribosomal RNA", at positions 680 to 1460 of the family's 1533-position model. The record is from RNAcentral. Lineage: Bacteria; Bacillati; Bacillota; Bacilli; Caryophanales; Bacillaceae.
GGUGAAAUGCGUAGAGAUGUGGAGGAACACCAGUGGCGAAGGCGACUCUCUGGUCUGUAACUGACGCUGAGGCGCGAAAGCGUGGGGAGCGAACAGGAUUAGAUACCCUGGUAGUCCACGCCGUAAACGAUGAGUGCUAAGUGUUAGAGGGUUUCCGCCCUUUAGUGCUGCAGCAAACGCAUUAAGCACUCCGCCUGGGGAGUACGGUCGCAAGACUGAGAUAACUCAAAGGAAUUGACGGGGGCACCGCACAAGCGGUUGGAGCAUGUGGUUUAAUUCGAAGCAACGCGAAGAACCUUACCAGGUCUUGACAUCCUCUGACAACCCUAGAGAUAGGGCUUCCCCUUCGGGGGCAGAGUGACAGGUGGUGCAUGGUUGUCGUCAGCUCGUGUCGUGAGAUGUUGGGUUAAGUCCCGCAACGAGCGCAACCCUUGAUCUUAGUUGCCAGCAUUCAGUUGGGCACUCUAAGGUGACUGCCGGUGACAAACCGGAGGAAGGUGGGGAUGACGUCAAAUCAUCAUGCCCCUUAUGACCUGGGCUACACACGUGCUACAAUGGGCAGAACAAAGGGCAGCGAAGCCGCGAGGCUAAGCCAAUCCCACAAAUCUGUUCUCAGUUCGGAUCGCAGUCUGCAACUCGACUGCGUGAAGCUGGAAUCGCUAGUAAUCGCGGAUCAGCAUGCCGCGGUGAAUACGUUCCCGGGCCUUGUACACACCGCCCGUCACACCACGAGAGUUUGUAACACCCGAAGUCGGUGAGGUAACCUUUUGGAGCCAGCCGCCGAA